This 409-nucleotide ribosomal RNA is filed under the name uncultured bacterium. Its description in RNAcentral is "bacterial SSU rRNA". It matches the Rfam family "Bacterial small subunit ribosomal RNA", at positions 355 to 775 of the family's 1533-position model. The record is from RNAcentral.
UCGAGGAUCUUCGUCAAUGGACGCAAGUCUGAACGAGCGACGCCGCGUGUGCGAUGAAGGCCUUCGGGUUGUAAAGCACAAAAGUGGGGAUAAAAGCCGAAAGGUCUGAUUGAUCCACAGUAAGCUCGGGCUAAGUUCGUGCCAGCAGCCGCGGUAAGACGAACCGAGCGAACGUUGUUCGGAAUCACUGGGCUUAAAGGGCGCGUAGGCGGGCGAUCAAGUCGGUGGUGAAAUCCUACAGCUUAACUGUAGAACUGCCUCCGAUACUGGUUGUCUCGAGGAAGGUAGGGGCGUGCGGAACAGUUGGUGGAGCGGUGAAAUGCGUUGAUAUCAACUGGAACUCCGGUGGCGAAGGCGGCACGCUGGACCUUUUCUGACGCUGAGGCGCGAAAGCCAGGGGAGCAAACGG